UACGUAGGGUGCAAGCGUUGUCCGGAAUUAUUGGGCGUAAAGAGCUCGUAGGUGGUCUGUUGCGUCGGCUGUGAAAACCCGAGGCUCAACCUCGGGCCUGCAGCCGAUACGGGCAGACUAGAGUUCGGCAGGGGAGACUGGAAUUCCUGGUGUAGCGGUGAAAUGCGCAGAUAUCAGGAGGAACACCGGUGGCGAAGGCGGGUCUCUGGGCCGAUACUGACACUGAGGAGCGAAAGCGUGGGGAGCGAACAGG
Molecule: ribosomal RNA, 253 nt
Filed under: uncultured bacterium
Lineage: Bacteria
Description: partial 16S ribosomal RNA
Rfam family: Bacterial small subunit ribosomal RNA
Source: RNAcentral